This 80-nucleotide unclassified non-coding RNA is filed under the name Pseudomonas umsongensis. Lineage: Bacteria; Pseudomonadati; Pseudomonadota; Gammaproteobacteria; Pseudomonadales; Pseudomonadaceae. The record is from RNAcentral.
UGUAGGAGCUGCCGCAGGCUGCGAUCUUUUGACCUUGAUUUUUUAAGGUCAAAAGAUCGCAGCCUGCGGCAGCUCCUACA